GACCUGACCAACAGUGGGAAGUCUCUGUACUUUGUUCGCGCCCUGACCUACUGCGAUAUCAACAAGAUCGAGCUGUCUGUGCUGAAAGAGACGCUUUAUACGUGCCCGGAGUUUGCACAGGAAUUUAUGGGAAAGAUACAGGAUACAUUCAACCUGAAACGGGGUGUGUUGACGGAAACCCAACGGCAGACGAAGAUGGACGACGAAACACUCAAAUUUAUCCGUCAGAAGAGACCGCACAUGCAAUCGAAAGGCAGACGCCAUGUCUAUGACGCCGACCUCACGACCGGUAGAUCCGGCUUCCGUAGAAAAGCUCGCCAUUAGACGGCGCCUCCGUCGUCUGACCCAGAUGACGACCAAGCGUCUCGGGCGAUCGACAUUUCACCGGAACAAGCGUCUAGUGAUAUCGACGUAGAGUUCGUGGAUAGAAGCAACCAAGGCUCGGGAAGUUCCCUUAUAAAAGAUCACAAAAAGUUACCCGCCUCGCUGUCGAAAAAAAUGGGUUAAAUGCUUUUUGUGUCGCCUCGGAUUAGCAUGUGCUGUCAACACAGAUUUAAGGGACGCCACAUUUCUACUCAACUGGAUUUUCGCUACAGAAAAAUACAUUUGAGCAAAAAAUCAUAUCAGCGGACCGCACAGGCUAAUAUGAGACGACACCUAACGCAAAUGCAUUCUUCAUGAGCUAUUGAAAUGUCUAUUUGUUUAAAAACAUUCUGUCCUAUUUGUAAUUAAAAAAGGCAGUGUUCUGUUUGUUAAAAUUGCCACGUGCUCCAACAGUCGACACGUGCAUCCACAGUUUCCCGUAAAUGCUGCAGCAAUAAUAAUUUGGC
This is a long non-coding RNA of Dreissena polymorpha, 830 nucleotides long. RefSeq lists it as uncharacterized. The record is from RefSeq and is a predicted model, not a curated record. Lineage: Eukaryota; Metazoa; Mollusca; Bivalvia; Myida; Dreissenidae. The transcript is spliced from 3 exons.